GGUCUAGCUUGCUAGACUGAUGGCGAGUGGCGAACGGGUGAGUAACGCGUAGGAAUAUGCCUUAAAGAGUGGGACAACUUGGGGAAACUCAAGCUAAUACCGCAUAAGCUCUGAGGAGUAAAGCUGGGGACCUUUGGGCCUGGCGCUUUAAGAUUAGCCUGCGUCCGAUUAGCUAGUUGGUGAGGUAAGGGCUUACCAAGGCGACGAUCGGUAGCUGGUCUGAGAGGAUGACCAGCCACACUGGGACUGAGACACGGCCCAGACUCCUACGGGAGGCAGCAGUGGGGAAUAUUGGACAAUGGGGGCAACCCUGAUCCAGCAAUGCCGCGUGUGUGAAGAAGGCCUGAGGGUUGUAAAGCACUUUCAGUGGGGAGGAGUGGUAUUUAGGUUAAGAGCUAGAAUAUCGGACGUUACCCACAGAAGAAGCACCGGCUAACUCCGUGCCAGCAGCCGCGGUAAUACGGAGGGUGCGAGCGUUAAUCGGAAUUACUGGGCGUAAAGGGUGCGUAGGUGGUUUGAUAAGUUAGCUGUGAAAUUCCUGGGCUUAACC
RNAcentral lists this ribosomal RNA (550 nucleotides) under Legionella gresilensis. RNAcentral's name for it is "bacterial SSU rRNA". It matches the Rfam family "Bacterial small subunit ribosomal RNA", at positions 72 to 614 of the family's 1533-position model. The record is from RNAcentral. Lineage: Bacteria; Pseudomonadati; Pseudomonadota; Gammaproteobacteria; Legionellales; Legionellaceae.